Manis javanica (Malayan pangolin) is the source of this 907-nucleotide non-coding RNA. The record is from RefSeq and is a predicted model, not a curated record. NCBI's taxonomy places the organism in Eukaryota, Metazoa, Chordata, Mammalia, Pholidota, Manidae.
CAGUGGGGGCAGCCACCCAAGGAGGGGGGCCCCCUCCCCGCCCACGCAGAACCCCGCUCCCGGAGGGGAGGGGGCGCCGGAACUCGGCUCUCUCUAGAGCGCCCACUCUGGCCGCGGAGUGCACGGGAUCUAAGGAGUUAAACGGUUAAUUCGAACGGGAAGACGACACCCAACUGGUUGCCGCUAUGUCAGUCAGUCCGUCCAUCAUGGCGAGGGCGGAGUCGGGUGCUGGCUUGUCCUCGCCGCUACCCCUGGCCAUGGGGAGCGCGUGGGGAGUGGUCCCUGCGCCACGGACGCUGUCCCUGCAGCGGGCAGCGGCUGUGUUCGGGGAAUCUCGUUGGUGGGUCGGAAGAUGGAGAUGAUCCAGAACACCAGGUGUCUGAUACCCUGGCUACCCUCCCACCGCUCUGUGUAUCACCGCCUUUUGUAAAAAGAUUCUGCAGAGGUAAACUGAGGCAGGUCGUCGGCAGCCGCGGGACGCAUCCCCGUGCCCUUUUCAGGCGAGUAAACAGCCGCGCCUCCUCCCCGCAGCCCCAACCAGCAGAGCCCCCCUUCCGGCACCUAAAUCGGGAGUCGCCGUGACUCACGCUCCCGCCUCCCCCAGCGCCGCGCCGAGCCACCGAGCAGAGAGCGAGCGGCAUCCGAGCGCCCCCCUCAUACCCGCCCCGGCCCCGGCCAAGCCCUGAUGGUGGCCCCAUAGGGAGAGCGCACUGGCCUUAAGGCCCCACCUCCAGGACUGCUGAGCUCUCGGACACUAACCCGCUCGGGAGCACGUUAGCAGAACGAGGCCCCUGCCCCCGUGCGCCCCCCUUACGGGCUCCCUGGGGCAGGCCCUGCAGCCUGCCACCACCCUCCCCCCAACCCCUGCACUGUUCUUUAAAAAAGAAAAACAGAAAGAAAAAAAAAA